UAACAAGGAUUCCCCUAGUAACUGCGAGUGAAGCGGGAAAAGCUCAAAUUUAAAAUCUGGCAGCUUUGGCUGUCCGAGUUGUAGUCUGGAGAAGCGUUUUCUGUGCUGGACCGUGUACAAGUCUCUUGGAACAGAGCGUCAUAGAGGGUGAGAAUCCCGUCUUUGAUACGGACUGCCAGUGCUGUGUGAUGCGCUCUCAAAGAGUCGAGUUGUUUGGGAAUGCAGCUCAAAAUGGGUGGUAAAUUCCAUCUAAAGCUAAAUAUUGGCGAGAGACCGAUAGCGAACAAGUACCGUGAGGGAAAGAUGAAAAGCACUUUGGAAAGAGAGUUAAACAGUACGUGAAAUUGCUGAAAGGGAAACGCUUGAAGUCAGUCGCGUCGACUUGAACUCAGCCUGGCUUUUGCCUGGUGCAUUUUUGGGUCGACGGGCCAGCAUCAAUUUUGACCGCUGGAAAAAGGCCUCGGGAAGGUGGCACCUUCGGGUGUGUUAUAGCCCUUGGUUGCAUACAGUGGUUGGGAUUGAGGAUCUCAGCAUGCCUUUAUGGCCGGGGUUCGCCCACGUUCAUGCUUAGGAUGCUGGCGUAAUGGCUUUAAACGAC
Molecule: ribosomal RNA, 598 nt
Filed under: Etheirodon cf. fimbriatum KUC20121109-29
Lineage: Eukaryota; Fungi; Basidiomycota; Agaricomycetes; Polyporales; Steccherinaceae
Description: eukaryotic LSU rRNA
Rfam family: Eukaryotic large subunit ribosomal RNA
Source: RNAcentral